Long non-coding RNA from Chinchilla lanigera (long-tailed chinchilla), 3624 nucleotides. RefSeq lists it as uncharacterized. The record is from RefSeq and is a predicted model, not a curated record. The transcript is spliced from 5 exons. NCBI's taxonomy places the organism in Eukaryota, Metazoa, Chordata, Mammalia, Rodentia, Chinchillidae.
CCCCUGUUGAGCAUGGUGACAUCCCUUGGCCACCUGGGCCUGUUUCCUUGGAGGGACAAUAUAAAGAUGAACACAGUCCAUCGCAGGCCCAGGUUGAAAUGCUAGCCGGAGUUCUGUAGUGUUUCGAGUUUGAAAGGAAAGGUCUGGGAUUUCUGCAUGUGAUCAGGAGCCGUAGUAGCCUCACCCACCAGUCCGCACCCAGCCGUUCACCCUCCUCCAGCUGUUCCCAGGGCCUGACUUACCAGCUGGGCUUCGAGUCUCUAGUUCAGCGUGAAGAGAUCAAGUGAUUCCAACCAAACUUCCUUCCGAGUGACUCCAGUGAGUGGCAACUGUGCCAACAAAAAGGAAUCAGAAGUUGCUGGCCAGUGUAAGUCUGGAACAGAAACUUGAACCCAACAGUAGGGGACGAGAAAGCCCUCAGGAGCCUACAGGAGAAAAAGAGGCUCUAGGAGCUCAGAAAGCCCUGGAGCUCUGAGGAACCACAGCUUAGCACCCGUACCUCCUCCCUGCGGCUCUGAGGACAGAAUCCCCUGCAGCUCCAGAUCCCGUCUAGGAGGCCAAUCCCUCCAGUCAGGUCCAAAUUCCACCUUCUUCAGGAUGGGCUUCCCAUACAGAAGAUCUAUAUCCAAGAUGAUUGUCCAAGCACCAGGCCCUGCUACCCAACCCUACCUCUCAGUGGCGACUACCACGAUCACUGUCAUCAUCACUGCCAUUCCUUGUGCACCUACUUACUUCAUGUCAACUGUGGGAGCUUUACACUGGGUUAUUUUGUUUAGCCCUCGCAAGGUACAUUUCAUUAUUAUUAUCUCCAUUUUACAGAGGCAAAAAUAGCUCAGAAGUUAAGUAUCUUGCCCAAGGUCACAUGGCUGACCUAAGAGCAGAGAUAAGAUGUAAACUUUGGCAAUCUGGCCAGACAGCUUAUCCUUGAGGAGCAUCAUGUCCUCCAGGGAUGCGAUGUUCCUUCCUAGGUAGCACAGCCUUGAAGAGCAGUACACAUGGGUGCUGGAUACAGAGAUACCGUGGAUCCUGUAUGUUUUGACAGAUGCUGUUUGUAGUGUUGUCAUGUAUAACACACACAGAUACACACACACACACACACACACCAAUGUUCAACAUAUGUUUUGCCUCAACAUAUGCAAACAUCCCACCAAAGAGCCCAGAGCUCAUUAGCCAUGGUUCUUCCAGUGAACAAAAGGUCAGCCCAGGACUGUCCGCUGUAUCUCCAGACGCAAGCACUUAGGGCUUAAUGAUGUGUAUAUUUCCAUAUGUGGGCAGCUGACAUUCCCCAUGUAAACUAUUUGCAAUUUCCCAACAUGGACAGAUUCAACUUUCGGGAAAAGCUGAGCAGAAGAGGGGCAAGAUAGAGGUCCCUCCCCUUCCUUCUAAGUAAGGGGCUGCCUCGUCCUGCUGGACCAGGUAGGAGGCAGCUGUUAUUUGGGGAUGAUGACUUCUCCCGGACAGAAAGAGAGGGGGCCACUUGCCCAGCUGUACCCUGGCCACUCCUUGACCCUAAGAGGAUCUGCAUCAGCUCUGGGAAGCCUGGCUGUGGACAGGGACAGGGAUAGGAAUCAGGCAUCCAGCAGGAGCCAGGACUGGAGGCAGCUGUGGGCGCUCAGAGGGGCUGGCCCUAGCCACUGGUGCUGGGCACAGUGGCUGUGUGGGUUUCUCACCAAUUUGCUCCAGGAUGACAGAUGUGGAAACUAAGCCUACGGAGCUGGGUGAAUAGAAAGAUCAUUGCUUCACUGCUAUAUCAUAGAAUGGAAUGUGGGUUUAGUAUGCAUUUCAUAAAUGCUUAUAGACAGAAUAUCAUUAAAUGGCGGACUCGAGAUUCAAAUGCAGUCUUGUCCUGCUCACAAACCCAUAAUCUCUCCAUUCCACUUUGCUGAAAUGAACUGGUGAUGUUCUUGGUACACAGUAGGUACUCAAUAUUCUUGCUGACUAAAUGCACAUGCACACAUACAACACAUAUGUUCACAGUGUGGAAGAGUGAGUCAAUCCUUUUCCUGACCACCAAAAGUACCUUCACAGGGUCAUCUGGUCUACCCCCUGCCAUGGUGACAAGCUAGGCCAAUCAGAGCUCCUCUCUGGAAUUUUCUCAGUUAAAACUGGAUGAUCGAGGGCUGGGGAUUUAGCUCAGCACCAUAGUGCCUGCCUGGAAAGUGUGAGGUCAUGAGUUCGAUUCCCAGUACCAGAAAAAAAAAAAACCAAAAAACUGGAUGAUCAGUGCACACAUCCCAGGCAGACUGUGGGCUGGAGCCUUGGGGGCUGCAGGCUAUAGGAGACCCCAGAGAUGCUCUUGGAAAGCACAUCCUGGUUUCAAGCCCAGGUUCUACUGUGUCUCUCAUGGUUUCAUUUGAUCCUAUGAAGAGCCUCCAGCCAUCAGCUUCCAAUUAUUCCCUCUCUGUUUGAACAACUGAAAAGCAAGAAUCUGUCACUUGCCACCAGGAAUCUGGGUGGCAAAGACAGCAGGAGGGUGGUAGGGCACACAGGGCUUGUUCUAACUCCAACUCCUGGCCUGAAAUUAAACAUGCUUGUACAAUCACAACCAGAAGGCCAAAGUGACAAUAAAGACAAACAAAUAAAAAAAGAAGGCCAAGGCAAAAGACUGCUGACCGGCAGUUGCAGAGAGUGUUUCCUCACUUGGGGGUUGAUCUAAGGUCUGGCUGACAGGAAGAAAAAGCGCCACUCUUCUACCUUUUUAAUCAAAACCUUCAGGGCCAUGUGUUAGAGCCACUGCCACAUACCCUUGAGUCUGUCUGGAGCAGUUCCUCUCUGUCUGUGGCCAGGCAGGAGACACAAUCCACAAGCCCCAAACAAGAGCAGAUCAAAGGAAAAAGGAGGGUUUUGUUUUCUGGGUCACUGGAGAGAAGAUAAAUCAGCCCGUCACAUGCUCACGAGUGACGUUCCCUCCACCCUAGGUCUGAUGUCAAUAUCCCACGGCUCCGGACAGGAACACCGGGACUCCUUACUGCAGUGUCCUUGCCGUCAGCCCAGUGGAUGGGCUGGAAGGCCUGAGGAGGGUGCCUGUUGCAGCCCCUCUGGGCAGAGAUGCUGCCGGAGAGGCAGCUGAUAGCUGGAGGUCCUUGUGAUAGAAGCUGGGAAAUGACAGCUCCCUCCUUGGGCAACUCACAAUGGCUCUUUGAAGUUCUAAGAGGGACAACACUCACCGCUUGCCAUGAAGGUGCACAUGGUCUUCAAUCAACAGUAGAUUUACCAUGAAGCAGAGGAUGCUAUGCUUUGGGACUCUCUGCUUGUAGCCCUAAGACUUAUAGUGUUCUAGGCAUGGGGAAGAAGCCAGGUUUAAAUGUGGAAGUGUUUCUACAAACAUUUCUGAUAAACUGAGAUCACAGAUGAAAAAGACCAGAAACUCCAAGCCUCUAAUGGUUUUUGUUUUUUUUUCUGGUACUGGGAAUCGAACUCACGACAUUGUGCUUGCCAGGCAGGCGCUAUGCAGCUGAGCUAAAUCCCCUGCCCUUCCAAGCCUCUAAUAACUUGCUGUGAUUUCUUUUCCCAGCCCCAGUAUACACUUCUGUGCAUGAUGUUCUAUUUCCUAUGUUAUUUAUGUUUUUUUUUUUUUCUGUCUUUUUGAGACAGGGUCUUGCUAUGCAGUUCAGGCUGGCCUUG